UUCUUAGCAAAGUAAUUUUACUUCUGCGCAGACGGGUGCCUCCUUGGCCAGUCGCCAUGAGAGCACACCUGAACAAAGGGCAAGAGAGCCUUUAAUUCUGACGCAAAUCCUGCCCCUGUACUCUUUCCCCAUUGGCCGGGGUCCGGUCGUACAAUCUAAACGAAUCCCGGUUGGCUAAACAUUUGAAUUUUUUUACAUAAGGUGGGCACGUAAAAGAAAUUGGAGAGGGCGGGGAAGGGGUGUCUGUCAUGAGCUAGAAAGUUAGUCUUCUUUCCAAAUAAGGAAAGGAAUGUGAGCUGGUACUGAUAACCCCUGGUACUGUGGUGUGCCUGGGCAUCUAACAAAGGCAAAAAGGAGAAAAAGGGGUACUAUGAAUUAAAGAAUAAAAGAUGGAUCAGAUUAUUUGAAGAGAAACCUCAUCAUAUCCCACAACGGGAACAGGAAAAAAAAAACACACAAUACAUUUUAGAGAAGUGGCAAGACAAAGGAAAGCAGGUUUAGGCUCCCAAAGGAGGGACCUCUGAGAAGUUACCUCCACGAAGCAGCUCGGCUGGUGCCAGAGAGAACAUCGGUACAGGUCUGGGAAUUUCCCUGGGAGCUGGCCCCAAGCCACAGCCCUCCCCAGCUCCGUAGUUUGUUUGUUCUUCCUCUCCUGGGCUCAAUCAUCUGGACAAGCCUCACUGCAGGGAAAACCCCUGGGGAGACACAGGGCUGCUUUCCCAGCAGAAGGUCAGUGUCUGAAGAGAAACUGGGGGUCCCCCAG
RNAcentral lists this long non-coding RNA (763 nucleotides) under Homo sapiens (human). Its description in RNAcentral is "HSALNT0290813". The record is from RNAcentral. Lineage: Eukaryota; Metazoa; Chordata; Mammalia; Primates; Hominidae.